Molecule: non-coding RNA, 21 nt
Organism: Caenorhabditis elegans
Lineage: Eukaryota; Metazoa; Nematoda; Chromadorea; Rhabditida; Rhabditidae
Source: Ensembl
UAGUUUAUAUUUUAUUCCCUU